UUGGACCAGUCCGGUGGUCCUCACCGGAGAAGAUGACCGGAGCUAGGGCUCCGGUGGUGCGCUGGAUCAAUCUAGACCAUCUGAUCUGGUUCUCAUGUUCUAAUUUCACGCGUCCAAUUUGAUUACCAAGCGUGUGGCACAGUUGACUAAGGUGUUUAUGGAACGCGCGCGCUUGGCCAUCAGAUCUGCCACCUCAAUUAUUGAGGG
Molecule: long non-coding RNA, 207 nt
Filed under: Lathyrus oleraceus (garden pea)
Lineage: Eukaryota; Viridiplantae; Streptophyta; Magnoliopsida; Fabales; Fabaceae
Description: Pisum sativum (pea) long non-coding RNA (PSAT_LNC040511)
Source: RNAcentral